UUGGCUCAGGAUGAACGCUGGCGGCAGGCUUAACACAUGCAAGUCGAGGGGCAGCAUGGGCAUAGCAAUAUGCCUGAUGGCGACCGGCGCACUGGUGAGUAACACGUAUGCAACCUGCCCCGUACAGGGGGAUAAUCCAGAGAAAUUUGGUCUAAUACCCCGUAGUCCCCGAGAGGGCAUCCUCCCGGGGGGAAAGCUCCGGCGGUACGGGAUGGGCAUGCGGCGCAUUAGCUUGUUGGCGGGGCGACGGCCCACCAAGGCGACGAUGCGUAGGGGUUCUGAGAGGAAGGUCCCCCACACUGGUACUGAGACACGGACCAGACUCCUACGGGAGGCAGCAGUGGGGAAUA
Molecule: ribosomal RNA, 350 nt
Filed under: uncultured rumen bacterium
Lineage: Bacteria
Description: bacterial SSU rRNA
Rfam family: Bacterial small subunit ribosomal RNA
Source: RNAcentral